GAGUUUGAUCAUGGCUCAGGACGAACGCUGGCGGCGUGCCUAAUACAUGCAAGUCGAGCGGAUCUUCAUUAGCUUGCUUUUGAAGAUCAGCGGCGGACGGGUGAGUAACACGUGGGCAACCUGCCUGUAAGACUGGGAUAACUUCGGGAAACCGGAGCUAAUACCGGAUAAUCCUUUUCCUCUCAUGAGGAAAAGCUGAAAGACGGUUUCGGCUGUCACUUACAGAUGGGCCCGCGGCGCAUUAGCUAGUUGGUGAGGUAACGGCUCACCAAGGCGACGAUGCGUAGCCGACCUGAGAGGGUGAUCGGCCACACUGGGACUGAGACACGGCCCAGACUCCUACGGGAGGCAGCAGUAGGGAAUCUUCCGCAAUGGACGAAAGUCUGACGGAGCAACGCCGCGUGAGCGAUGAAGGCCUUC
Molecule: ribosomal RNA, 420 nt
Filed under: uncultured microorganism
Description: bacterial SSU rRNA
Rfam family: Bacterial small subunit ribosomal RNA
Source: RNAcentral